This 506-nucleotide ribosomal RNA is filed under the name uncultured bacterium. RNAcentral describes it as "partial 16S ribosomal RNA". It matches the Rfam family "Bacterial small subunit ribosomal RNA", at positions 28 to 506 of the family's 1533-position model. The record is from RNAcentral.
GACGAACGCUGGCGGCGUGCCUAAUACAUGCAAGUCGAACGCAUUUUCUUUCACCGUAGCUUGCUACACCGAAAGAAAAUGAGUGGCGAACGGGUGAGUAACACGUGGGUAACCUGCCCAUCAGCGGGGGAUAACACUUGGAAACAGGUGCUAAUACCGCAUAAUUCCAUUUACCGCAUGGUAGAUGGAUGAAAGGCGCUUUUGCGUCACUGAUGGAUGGACCCGCGGUGCAUUAGCUAGUUGGUGGGGUAACGGCCUACCAAGGCUGCGAUGCAUAGCCGCCCUGAGAGGGGGACGGGCCACCCGGGGCGUGAGACCCGGCCCACCUCCCUACGGGAGGCAGAGGGGGGGAAUUUUGGGCAAUGGACGCAAGUUUGACCAGCAAACCCCGGUGGGGUGAAAAGGGUUUUGGGGUGUAAAAACCUUUUUUUUAAAGAAAAAAAAGGAGGAGGGGGGAAAGUUCACCCCUUGACGGUUUUUAACCAGAAAGCCCCGGCUAACUACGU